Molecule: ribosomal RNA, 109 nt
Filed under: Silene coniflora
Lineage: Eukaryota; Viridiplantae; Streptophyta; Magnoliopsida; Caryophyllales; Caryophyllaceae
Description: partial 18S ribosomal RNA
Rfam family: Eukaryotic small subunit ribosomal RNA
Source: RNAcentral
GGCGGUUCGCCGCCGACGACGUCGCGAGAAGUUCACUGAACCUUAUCAUUUAGAGGAAGGAGAAGUCGUAACAAGGUUUCCGUAGGUGAACCUGCGGAAGGAUCAUUGU